CUGACAUCUGAUGAAUGAAAAACAACGAAACUUCAAAAUGUAACGCAAAUCCGUGCAUUGUUCAAGGGAAGCGAUGUUGAAAGCUGCCGCUGCAGAUGUCCUAAAAAAUGGUCCUUCAUCCGUAGUUUAAAAUAUCAUGAAGCUUGGCGAUCAUGUUGCAAGGGAACAACCACCAGGACAACCCGCAGCGUUUUGAUAGUAUCAGAGAAGCGCCAUUUUUUGUCUACAUUGGUUGGUUUAAUAAAAAUUAAUUUAACUUG
This is a long non-coding RNA of Aedes aegypti (yellow fever mosquito), 260 nucleotides long. RefSeq lists it as uncharacterized. The record is from RefSeq and is a predicted model, not a curated record. Lineage: Eukaryota; Metazoa; Arthropoda; Insecta; Diptera; Culicidae. The transcript is spliced from 2 exons.